Molecule: long non-coding RNA, 366 nt
Organism: Gasterosteus aculeatus aculeatus (three-spined stickleback)
Lineage: Eukaryota; Metazoa; Chordata; Actinopteri; Perciformes; Gasterosteidae
Source: Ensembl
ACAGGAGCAGCUUCAUCUCUGCAGCCCAACUGGUCUCCAAAGGUCUCAGACUCUUUCUAACUGGUCUCCAAAGGUCUCAGAAUAUUUCUAACUGGUCUCCAAAGGUCUCAGACUAUUUCUAACUGGUCUCUGAAGGUCUCAGACUCUUUCUUACUGGUCUCCAAAGGUCUCAGACUAUUUCUAACUGGUCUCUGAAGGUCUCAGACUCUUUCUUACUGGUCUCCAAAGGUCUCAGACUAUUUCUAUCUGGUCUCCAAAGGUCUCAGACCCUUUCUAACUGGUCUCCAAAGGUCUCAGACCCUUUCUAACCUGUCUUAGCUGCAUUAUCCAUCCAGAGAAGAGGAAUGUGUUGCUGCAGAGUCUGCU